RNAcentral lists this ribosomal RNA (306 nucleotides) under Triticum aestivum (bread wheat). RNAcentral's name for it is "partial small subunit ribosomal RNA". Lineage: Eukaryota; Viridiplantae; Streptophyta; Magnoliopsida; Poales; Poaceae. The record is from RNAcentral.
AUGAUUAUGUCUGGAUCUCCGGGGGCAGACACUAUCAUACUGAAUCUCAGCCGGACCACGACUGUCAACAGGGUCACCGUAUUCUUUGAGGAACACAAACAAUCCAGGUAUAUAGCCAAGGUGGAUAAUACACAUGUGGCUUCUCCUGCACAACGUCGGUCCGGCUCUCCUCCAUGGCACUCCGGGAUUUUCUCGGGCGUGCCUCCCCUUACCGCUCAAUCUCUUGAUGAGCCUCAGCCCUCACACCAUCAGCAAUCCGACAAACCUUACUUCUACUACCCCACGGAGGUAUACAAAACAUUCUAG